GCCCGGGGCUGCGCGGGGGCGGGUUGCCUCCUCCCUGGGCCUGCCUGGGCAACCGCCUCCGCGAUGCCGUUGCUUGUCGAGGGGAGGCGAGUGCGGCUGUCGCAGUACUCGCCCACGCUGCUGCGUCCGAGCCCACUCUCCUUUGGAGGAAAGAGCCAGACUUCUCAGAGGUCAGUCUGUUCAAGAAGUGGGACCCCAGGGCCUUCUGUGUGUUCAGCGAAGAGAGCUUGCAGUGACCUUCCCGAAGAAUGGCUCCAUCUCCAUUCUGGGUUCUGAUGAUGCCACUACUUGUCACAUUGUGGUCCUGAGGCAAACAGGUAAUGGGGCCACCUGCUUGACACAUUGUGACGGAACCGACACCAAAGCUGAAUUCCCCUUGAUCAUGAACUCCAUAAAAUCCUUUUCCGACCACGUUCAAUGUGGAAGGCUGAAAGUGCACCUCCUUGGAGGCUUCAGUGACCACAGGCAGUUGUCACAAAAACUCACUCAUCAACUUCUUAGUGAAUUUGACAGGCAAGAAGAUGACAUUCACUUAGUGACAUUAUGUGUGACAAUUAAAUGACCGGGAAGAAAACGAAAACCACUUUCCAAUAAUAUAUGGCAUUGCUGUCAACAUUAAGACUGCAGAGAUUUACAGAGCCUCCUUUCAAGGUCCAGGUCCGGAGGAGCAGCUGCUUGCUGCGGGAACUUUAGCAGGAGGACCAAUGAUUAGCAUUUACGAUGCAGAGACAGAACAACUUCGCAUAGGACCGUACUCCUGGACGCCAUUUCCACGUGUGGAUUUCUGGUUGCAGCAAGAUGACAAGCAAAUACUAGAGAAUCUUUCUACUUCGCCUCUGGCUGAGCCGCCCCACUUUGUUGAAUUUAUUAGAUCUACCUUGAUGUUUUUUUAAAAAAAUACCCAUCUCCAACUAACACACUGUUUCCUGGAAAUAAAGCCCUACUCUAAAAAAAAAAAAAAGAAUUACUAGGUCAAAAGAUAAGAAAUUAUUCAAAUGGAUUCUGUGUGCUACCAGGUUGCUGUGAUCUGAAUGUAUCCCCAGAAUUCAUAUGUUAGAAACAUCAUCUCAAACGCACCAGCGUUGGCAGAUGUGGAGUCUUUUGGGAGGUGUUUAGGUCAUGAGGGUAGAGCCCUAUUGAAUGGAUUAUAAAUAAAAGGGCUUGCAGAAUUGGGUUUUCUUACUCUUGCCCUUCUGCCUUCCGACUUCUACCUUCUGUCCACAUGAUGACUCAGCAAGAAAGCCCUCACCAGAUGCUGAUGCCUUAAUCUUGGACUUCCCAGCCUCCGGAACUGGGGAGACAGUCUGG
Molecule: RNA transcript, 1308 nt
Organism: Mandrillus leucophaeus (drill)
Lineage: Eukaryota; Metazoa; Chordata; Mammalia; Primates; Cercopithecidae
Gene name: protein N-terminal asparagine amidohydrolase-like
Exons: 1
Source: RefSeq, a predicted model, not a curated record